RNAcentral lists this ribosomal RNA (516 nucleotides) under Triticum aestivum (bread wheat). Its description in RNAcentral is "partial small subunit ribosomal RNA". The record is from RNAcentral. Lineage: Eukaryota; Viridiplantae; Streptophyta; Magnoliopsida; Poales; Poaceae.
AUGGCGGCGGCGCCGCACGUUGUGGUCGUCGCCUUCCCCUUCGCCCCCCACGCGGUGAAGCUGUUCCGCAUAGCGCGCGCCCUCGCGUCGGCGGCGCCGGCUGCCACCUUCUCCUUCCUCUGCACCGCCGGGCACCUGCAGAAGCACACUACGCUCCUGGGGAACCUGCGCUUCGUGGAGGUCCCGGACGGUUUAUCACCGAGCUCGGAAUCGGAUGGCGCCGCUGCGGCGCCACCGCCCCACCCCAAGAUGCGUCUGAAGCUCUUCAUGGAGGCUGCCGCGGCUGGCGGGUUGAGGGAGGCGCUGGAGACGGCUCGCGCCUCCGCGGGCGGCGCCAGGGUGACCUGCGUCGUUGGCGACUCGUUCAUGUGGAUGGCCGCCAAGGCGGCCGCCGAGGUGGAGGCUCCAUGGGUCGCCGUCUGGACCGGCGGCCCCAGCGCUCUCCUGGCGCACCUCCGCGCUGACGCGCUGCGGGACGACAUCGGUGAUAAAGGUACGCAGCACGAUCCACCAUGA